UUUCAGCAGGUAUGUGAGAUGUCUCACUCUGGAGCUAAAACGAAACCCAAACACACAGGGUGAAAACAGAAUCUGCAGCAAUAUGCAGUACAACUAAAAUAUGGUCUUUUUUGAAAAUUAA
Long non-coding RNA from Etheostoma spectabile (orangethroat darter), 121 nucleotides. RefSeq lists it as uncharacterized. The transcript has 3 exons. The record is from RefSeq and is a predicted model, not a curated record. NCBI's taxonomy places the organism in Eukaryota, Metazoa, Chordata, Actinopteri, Perciformes, Percidae.